UGGCUCUGGAGAAGCCCGGCGACGGGUACCGAAGGUGCAAGGCGGCGCAGCCGCUGAAUCUCUCAGGUAAAAGGACAGAGUAGGGA
RNAcentral lists this non-coding RNA (86 nucleotides) under uncultured Dysosmobacter sp. RNAcentral describes it as "Glycine riboswitch". The stretch from base 4 to 80 matches the Rfam family "Glycine riboswitch aptamer", at positions 9 to 86 of the family's 94-position model. Rfam says of the family: This family represents the bacterial glycine riboswitch. Glycine riboswitches usually consist of two metabolite-binding aptamers domains with similar structures in tandem. The record is from RNAcentral. Lineage: Bacteria; Bacillati; Bacillota; Clostridia; Eubacteriales; Oscillospiraceae.